UCGAUUCAACCCAAAUGAGAGAGGAAGUUGUUCGCAGUUGUGCUGGCCUCCAAUUGGAGGCAUGUGCACGCUCGACUUCUUCUUUUCUUCAUUUACACACACCUGUGAACUUAUUGUAGGGUGUCCCUCAGGACGCUCUAUGUCUUUUUCAUAUACACCAAUACAUGUUUAUAGAAUGUAGCCUUUUGCUCUCGUCAGAGACAAAAUAAAUCCUUUAUAACUUUCAGCAACGGAUCUCUUGGCUCUCGCAUCGAUGAAGAACGCAGCGAAUUGCGAUAUGUAAUGUGAAUUGCAGAUUUUCAGUGAAUCAUCGAAUCUUUGAACGCAUCUUGCGCUCCUUGGUAUUCCGAGGAGCAUGCCUGUUUGAGUGUCUAUAAAUUCUCAACUCCCUUUGAUUUCUUCAAUGGUGAGCUUGGACUCUGGAGGUAUGCCGGCUGUAAAGUCGGCUCCUCUGAAAUGCAUUGGCAAAGGCGUGUGCAUGAAUUUGGCCUUUCGGUGUGAUAAUGAUCACCGUGGCUGGAUUGCUAUAAUGCUUAUGCCUAAUCCUUUCCAUUUGCUUGGAAAAACCCACUUGACCAUUG
This 581-nucleotide unclassified non-coding RNA is filed under the name Coniophora eremophila. RNAcentral's name for it is "sequence contains ITS1, 5.8S rRNA gene and ITS2". The stretch from base 219 to 373 matches the Rfam family "5.8S ribosomal RNA". The record is from RNAcentral. Lineage: Eukaryota; Fungi; Basidiomycota; Agaricomycetes; Boletales; Coniophoraceae.